ACAGCAAUCGCAUCUCGUGCUCAUUCGUGUGCGGCCCUUCACCGCUAAGCGACGUGUGUCCCGACCAUCGACCAUAGACCAUCGACAUCAUCGUGCCAUUCAAGCGGUCGUCUUCGUCGUCGUUGUCGUCGUCAUAGUCAUCGUCAUCGUAGUCAUUCGUUCGCAUUCGCAUUCGCUGCCCCCCUGACACCCAAACGAACACACAAAACAACCAAACCAAACCAAAGCCACCCACCCACCCACACCCACUUUCUCGCUCUCUCAUUGUCUGUCUGGGAACCGCAUUCGUGGACAGACUUCGGGCUCUCCUGCUGCUGCUGCUUGGCACCUUCGGGGGGCUGUUGGCGGUUCGGCUGCCUUUGCUGCUUUUACGCUAACCAAACGCUCGCCACGGGCCGUGCAGCAAAAACAGUUUACAUUUGUUUUUCCGCGUGCGAGCACACGUUGACGGGUCUGUCUGCGAUAGAAGCUCUUUCUCAAUAUUCCAAACACACUAUCACCACUGGCUUUCCACCACAUACCUAAUACCAAUACCUUUGCCGUACCCAAAACAAAAAAAAAAUACAAAACAACAACGUGCGGUGUUGUAGGCUUGCCACACAGAUCGAAACGAAUGUCCAAAUUCAAAUUCAAAUUAAAAUCCAAAUGAUUAAAAUGAUAAUACAAGAUGCAGUUGCAACAAUAAUUACGAGUACUCGUAUAAUGCCAACAGCAAAAUGUUUCAACAAAUGCAGUGCGUGUGCAUGAAAAACCAAAGCCAAAAACAACAGCAACAGCAACUCGAGGAAAAGUCACAGGGAAAAGUACUUUGGACAAGUGAAAACCCGCUCGAACUAUAAACACGAAAUACAAAACAAAAAUAAAAACAAAUAAUGAUCAUGGAAUGCCCCAUAGGAAAGAGAAAUCCCGCCCAAGAAUCUCCCGGCUGGACUGCCACUGCCCCUGCGGCAGAGUGAGGAGUGGCCCAAGAAGGCGUCAGAGGAAGCAAACAAAACUCCAAACUAAAAAAAAAGACAAUUUUUAAAGACAAACCAAACCAAAAAAAAAAAACCAAAGAGCAAACAGAACAGAACAGAAGCUAGAAAAUUUCGAAUUAUUACAAGAAUCUUCUAUACAUUUGAAAUAUUUUCAAAUUCAAAUUCAAAUCUAAGUAAAUUAAUAAAAAAUAAACUAAUAAAUGAUAGUAAACGAAGCUCAAAUAGACUGAAAUAGAGUCCAAAUAUAUUACGAAAGUAAAAUGCAAUUAAUUCAACAUAUCAUAUAAAUUAAUUAGAACAAAUUGCAUUUAAGUUUAAUAAAACACACACC
This is a long non-coding RNA of Drosophila obscura, 1308 nucleotides long. RefSeq lists it as uncharacterized. The transcript has 3 exons. NCBI's taxonomy places the organism in Eukaryota, Metazoa, Arthropoda, Insecta, Diptera, Drosophilidae. The record is from RefSeq and is a predicted model, not a curated record.